ACGAUGAAGCUUCUAGCUUGCUAGAAGUGGAUUAGUGGCGCACGGGUGAGUAAGGUAUAGUUAAUCUGCCCUACACAAGAGGACAACAGUUGGAAACGACUGCUAAUACUCUAUACUCCUGCUUAACACAAGUUGAGUAGGGAAAGUUUUUCGGUGUAGGAUGAGACUAUAUAGUAUCAGCUAGUUGGUAAGGUAAUGGCUUACCAAGGCUAUGACGCUUAACUGGUCUGAGAGGAUGAUCAGUCACACUGGAACUGAGACACGGUCCAGACUCCUACGGGAGGCAGCAGUAGGGAAUAUUGCGCAAUGGGGGAAACCCUGACGCAGCAACGCCGCGUGGAGGAUGACACUUUUCGGAGCGUAAACUCCUUUUCUUAGGGAAGAAUUCUGACGGUACCUAAGGAAUAAGCACCGGCUAACUCCGUGCCAGCAGCCGCGGUAAUACGGAGGGUGCAAGCGUUACUCGGAAUCACUGGGCGUAAAGGGCGCGUAGGCGGAUUAUCAAGUCUCUUGUGAAAUCUAAUGGCUUAACCAUUAAACUGCUUGGGAAACUGAUAGUCUAGAGUGAGGGAGAGGCAGAUGGAAUUGGUGGUGUAGGGGUAAAAUCCGUAGAUAUCACCAAGAAUACCCAUUGCGAAGGCGAUCUGCUGGAACUCAACUGACGCUAAGGCGCGAAAGCGUGGGGAGCAAACAGGAUUAGAUACCCUGGUAGUCCACGCCCUAAACGAUGUACACUAGUUGUUGGGGUGCUAGUCAUCUCAGUAAUGCAGCUAACGCAUUAAGUGUACCGCCUGGGGAGUACGGUCGCAAGAUUAAAACUCAAAGGAAUAGACGGGGACCCGCACAAGCGGUGGAGCAUGUGGUUUAAUUCGAAGAUACGCGAAGAACCUUACCUGGGCUUGAUAUCCUAAGAACCUUUUAGAGAUAAGAGGGUGCUAGCUUGCUAGAACUUAGAGACAGGUGCUGCACGGCUGUCGUCAGCUCGUGUCGUGAGAUGUUGGGUUAAGUCCCGCAACGAGCGCAACCCACGUAUUUAGUUGCUAACGGUUCGGCCGAGCACUCUAAAUAGACUGCCUUCGUAAGGAGGAGGAAGGUGUGGACGACGUCAAGUCAUCAUGGCCCUUAUGCCCAGGGCGACACACGUGCUACAAUGGCAUAUACAAUGAGACGCAAUACCGCGAGGUGGAGCAAAUCUAUAAAAUAUGUCCCAGUUCGGAUUGUUCUCUGCAACUCGAGAGCAUGAAGCCGGAAUCGCUAGUAAUCGUAGAUCAGCCAUGCUACGGUGAAUACGUUCCCGGGUCUUGUACUCACCGCCCGUCACACCAUGGGAGUUGAUUUCACUCGAAGCCGGAAUACU
RNAcentral lists this ribosomal RNA (1357 nucleotides) under Campylobacter coli. Its description in RNAcentral is "bacterial SSU rRNA". It matches the Rfam family "Bacterial small subunit ribosomal RNA", at positions 66 to 1436 of the family's 1533-position model. The record is from RNAcentral. Lineage: Bacteria; Pseudomonadati; Campylobacterota; Epsilonproteobacteria; Campylobacterales; Campylobacteraceae.